RNAcentral lists this ribosomal RNA (254 nucleotides) under uncultured bacterium. Its description in RNAcentral is "partial 16S ribosomal RNA". It matches the Rfam family "Bacterial small subunit ribosomal RNA", at positions 524 to 776 of the family's 1533-position model. The record is from RNAcentral.
UACGGGGGGAGCAAGCGUUGUUCGGAUUUACUGGGCGUAAAGGGCGCGUAGGCGGCCACCGCAAGUCGGUUGUGAAAUCUCUGGGCUUAACCCAGAAAGGUCAACCGAUACUGCGGGGCUAGAGUGCAGAAGGGGCAACUGGAAUUCUCGGUGUAGCGGUGAAAUGCGCAGAUAUCAGGAGGAACACCAGCGGCGAAGGCGGCGCUCUGGGCCGGUACUGACGCUGAGACGCGAAAGCGUGGGGAGCAAACAGG